This 253-nucleotide ribosomal RNA is filed under the name uncultured bacterium. Its description in RNAcentral is "partial 16S ribosomal RNA". It matches the Rfam family "Bacterial small subunit ribosomal RNA", at positions 524 to 776 of the family's 1533-position model. The record is from RNAcentral.
UACGGGGGGAGCAAGCGUUGUCCGGAUUUACUGGGCGUAAAGGGCGUGCAGGCGGUUUGUUAAGUGCAGGGUGAAAGCUCCCGGCUCAACUGGGAGAGGUCCUUGCAUACUGGCGAACUCGAGGGAGGCAGAGGAAAGUGGAAUUCCCGGUGUAGUGGUGAUAUGCGUAGAUAUCGGGAGGAACACCUGUGGCGAAGGCGGCUUUCUGGGCCUUACCUGACGCUGAGACGCGAAAGCGUGGGGAGCGAACCGG